CAUGCAAGUCGAACGAUGAAGCUCCAGCUUGCUGGGGUGGAUUAGUGGCGAACGGGUGAGUAACACGUGAGUAACCUGCCCUUGACUCUGGGAUAAGCCUUGGAAACGGGGUCUAAUACCGGAUAGGAGCAUUCACCGCAUGGUGGGUGUUGGAAAGAAUUUCGGUCUUGGAUGGACUCGCGGCCCAUCAGCUUGUUGGUGAGGUAAUGGCUCACCAAGGCGACGACGGGUAGCCGGCCUGAGAGGGUGACCGGCCACACUGGGACUGAGACACGGCCCAGACUCCUACGGGAGGCAGCAGUGGGGAAUAUUGCACAAUGGGCGCAAGCCUGAUGCAGCGACGCCGCGUGAGGGAUGACGGCCUUCGGGUUGUAAACCUCUUUCAGUAGGGAAGAAGCGAAAGUGACGGUACCUGCAGAAGAAGCACCGGCUAACUACGUGCCAGCAGCCGCGUUAAU
RNAcentral lists this ribosomal RNA (458 nucleotides) under Micrococcus lylae. RNAcentral describes it as "bacterial SSU rRNA". It matches the Rfam family "Bacterial small subunit ribosomal RNA", at positions 54 to 524 of the family's 1533-position model. The record is from RNAcentral. Lineage: Bacteria; Bacillati; Actinomycetota; Actinomycetes; Micrococcales; Micrococcaceae.